Lagopus leucura (white-tailed ptarmigan) is the source of this 2064-nucleotide long non-coding RNA. RefSeq lists it as uncharacterized. The record is from RefSeq and is a predicted model, not a curated record. The transcript has 2 exons. Lineage: Eukaryota; Metazoa; Chordata; Aves; Galliformes; Phasianidae.
CGCUGCAGCAGCGCUCCUCCCGACGUCUCGCGGUGCGGCUCCCGGUUGGAGCCGUCGGCCACGCUGCUCCUCGCUGCCGAGGGGAAGUUCCGGUCACGAGAGCGCGUGUAAUGAUAAACAUUUGAGCUGUGGGGUCACAGGAGCUCAGGAGCCAAAUGUUUGGAGCAAACAUGUAAGUUUCUUCCCUUGUUUUGUUGUCCUGCCCCUGCCAGCGCCUGGCCUCACCUGUGUUCGUACGCUGAGGCCUUUACUCCUCUGUGUGCUUUGCAUUGCUCUGAAGCAGGCUCCCCUUUGGCUCACUGCCACUCUGGGCCAUCUCUGGGCCACGUUCAGUCACGUCUGUCUGUAGACAGUUGGGCGAUCUCACACGCUGUAGACCUCUGCACGUGCUCUCACUGUGAGAAGAGCUGGAAGAACCAGUAAAAAGGGGAAAGAACCCUGGCUGAUACUGCAGGGAGCAGGAGGACACAGACAGCAAGUGAAUGCACUUCACAGAGUGCAAAUUAAUGCAGAGAGAACAGAGCCCAGGACAGGUGAGGAGGCAGAGGCAGUCACUGCAACCCUCAUCUAGCAUCUUAUCUUAACCACGAGUACUGAAUUAAUAAACAAGGGCUUGGAAAACUCAGCCCCAGUCAGGCCUGUCUCUGAUCUGCCUCUUCAGGACACAGUCACUUCACUUACCUGCAUCUUUAACGCCACGGUCUGGGUGAGCAAUUCUUGUACAGCUCAACAGAGCCAUUCUGCUGAGCAUCCAGCUCUGCACAGAAUUCGUCGUCUGAGCAUACUAGUCAGGAGCAGAAGCUGCAGAGCAGAUCUUUUUCAUUUUCUAAAGGACAGCGUGCUAUGAAAAAAAACCCAACAGUUUAAUAGUUCAGCGGGAGUUUCUUAAACACAGAGUUAGUCAUGUAGUCAUCACUAUAAUACCAUCAUUUGACUGUACCUUGAGAUGCAGCUGUCGAACUUCAUCGUUGCGUUGAGCAGCAAAGUUGUACUUGUUUGAACAAGUUACAUCAUGGGAGACUUUAUUCUACGUUCUCUACCCACACAACCCUGCGAUUUAUUUUCACCUGAGAACUUGUUAAUAAUACCAGCGAAGAAGCUAAUGUUCCAAGAUGUUUAGGAUUCACACACAAAUCUUAAAUUCUACUGGCAGAAACAGAGCAUCACUGCUUUGAUAGGGAAUAGUCAGUAGCACUCUUCACAGCAAGAAGAGUUUUAGUUCUUAGUUCCAUGGCACUGUGCCUGAGCAUGAUAUACUUACUCAGGUUAAUGUGUUUUCUGCCUACUUUAUCAAUCCAGAUGGACUUAAAGGGAGGAAAGCAAAAUAAGCAUUUGAUGAUCACAGAAGUGAACAACUUGCAGUAGAACUCAGUGCUCUGGUAGGAUGCUAAAGAGCAGACUUACAACAUUUCAUGCAAUGGGUGUUUCUUAGAUGUAGCAGUUUGCCCGUGACAGCAUUUGGUCACUUUAACUAAUGGCUCUGAGCCACCCUGGGGUCAGCAAAGUGGGGCAAAGUCCAGGACAUCUCUCCCCUGUACCUCGAAGCAGUGCACUGUGAUAAAAAGAACGGCCACUUUGCUUUUAUCUGCUGUGCUUCCUUAAACCAGCUGCACACAGCUGUGAAGCAGCCUGAGAUGAGGCUGAUCCUCACAGUGAUGUUACCGUUCAGAGGUGUCAGAUUCAGCUCAGUAUAUGUGCCAAAGUUGCCCUCAGUGCUGGCACCCCACCAGCUUCUGAAAAGGGCUUUCAGUUGUUACACCCGUGAAUUUUUGUUGUUUUUUAGUGUUCACAAGAAAGUCUGACAUCGUUACAGAGAACUGCAAUUUUUUAUGAAAUAUCUGGGCUGUUUGAAGUGUGAAUAUUGAAAAGACUUGUUAUCCCAGUCAGAGGUAUUUGGAAAUUUUUAUGCUGGCCAGAGACAACUUAGUAUUUAGGAAUUAUCUACUCUCACUACAGGUCAGUCUUAUUCAGGGGUUUACAGCAGUUUAAACAAUUGCAGUUUUCCUUUUUGUACAGUUUUACCCUUAUUUACCUCUAGAACAAAAUUUGUACACUUUCAUCAAA